AAUGAGAUGGUUAGCGCUUUUCAUUAUAAGUCUUAUGGGACUUUUUUGGUAGUCAAAAAGCCCUAUAAUCUCCAGAGUGGUUUUACCCACUACAGAAAUUAUAGAGCC
This is a non-coding RNA of Streptococcus sp. 'caviae', 108 nucleotides long. The record is from Rfam. Lineage: Bacteria; Bacillati; Bacillota; Bacilli; Lactobacillales; Streptococcaceae.